RNAcentral lists this ribosomal RNA (786 nucleotides) under uncultured archaeon. RNAcentral describes it as "bacterial SSU rRNA". It matches the Rfam family "Archaeal small subunit ribosomal RNA", at positions 85 to 876 of the family's 1478-position model. The record is from RNAcentral.
ACUGCUCAGUAACACGUGGACAACCUACCCUAUGGAGGGGGAUAACCCCGGGAAACUGGGGAUAAUACCCCAUAGGCUAUGGAAGCUGGAAUGCUCUGUAGUCGAAAGGUCCGCCGCCAUAGGAUGGGUCUGCGGCCGAUUAGGUUGUUGUUGGGGUAACGGCCCAACAAGCCUGUAAUCGGUACGGGUUGUGGGAGCAAGAGCCCGGAGAUGGAUUCUGAGACACGAAUCCAGGCCCUACGGGGCGCAGCAGGCGCGAAAACUUUACAAUGCGGGAAACCGUGAUAGGGGAACUCUGAGUGCCCGUAAAAUCGGGCUGUCCAUCAGUUUAAAUAACUGGUGAAGAAAGGGCCGGGCAAGACCGGUGCCAGCCGCCGCGGUAAUACCGGCGGCUCGAGUGGUGGCCACUAUUACUGGGCUUAAAGCGUUCGUAGCUGGCUUGUUAAGUCUCUGGGGAAAUCUUCCGGCUCAACCGGAAGGCGUCUCAGGGAUACUGGCAGGCUAGGGACCGGGAGAGGUGAGAGGUACUCCAGGGGUAGGAGUGAAAUCCUGUAAUCCUUGGGGGACCACCUGUGGCGAAGGCGUCUCACCAGAACGGCUCCGACAGUGAGGGACGAAAGCUGGGGGAGCAAACCGGAUUAGAUACCCGGGUAGUCCCAGCUGUAAACGAUGCACGUUAGGUGUAUCGGUGACCACGAGUCACCGAGGUGCCGAAGAGAAAUCGUGAAACGUGCCGCCUGGGAAGUACGGUCGCAAGGCUGAAACUUAAAGGAAUUGGCGGGGGAG